UGACAUUAUUGGUUGUUCCUUCCCAAAUGGGUUGAGAUAGGUGAGGCCUAGAGUGAAAAGACCAUUGAACAAGAAGACAUAUCCAACCAAUGCUCCUAGACCGAUCCAGUACCAGUUUGCAUCAGGAAAGACUCCACGAGAUUUCAAGAUGGUCACCCCAAGAGUCUCUUUGGAACCAGGAAGUAUACGUCUCCAGCUUCUCCCAAGGAACUCAUUUGUUG
RNAcentral lists this unclassified non-coding RNA (221 nucleotides) under Hevea brasiliensis (rubber tree). The record is from RNAcentral. Lineage: Eukaryota; Viridiplantae; Streptophyta; Magnoliopsida; Malpighiales; Euphorbiaceae.